CCUACGGGGGGCAGCAGUGGGGGAUAUUGGACAAUGGGGGAAACCCUGAUCCAGCGACGCCGCGUGAGUGAAGAAGUAUUUCGGUAUGUAAAGCUCUAUCAGCAGGGAAGAAAGAAAUGACGGUACCUGAUUAAGAAGCUCCGGCUAACUACGUGCCAGCAGCCGCGGUAAUACGUAGGGGGCAAGCGUUAUCCGGAAUUACUGGGUGUAAAGGGAGCGUAGGCGGUAAUGCAAGUCUGGAGUGAAAGGCGGGGGCCCAACCCCCGGACUGCUCUGGAAACUGUGUAACUGGAGUGCAGGAGAGGCAGGCGGAAGUCCUAGUGUAGCGGUGAAAUGCGUAGAUAUUAGGAGGAACACCAGUGGCGAAGGCGGCCUGCUGGACUGUAACUGACGUUGAGGCUCGAAAGCGUGGGGAGCAAACAGGAUUAGAUACCCCAGUAGUC
RNAcentral lists this ribosomal RNA (443 nucleotides) under uncultured bacterium. RNAcentral describes it as "partial 16S ribosomal RNA". It matches the Rfam family "Bacterial small subunit ribosomal RNA", at positions 338 to 795 of the family's 1533-position model. The record is from RNAcentral.